GACGAACGCUGGCGGCGUGCUUAACACAUGCAAGUCGAACGGAAAGGCCCUGCUUUUGUGGGGUGCUCGAGUGGCGAACGGGUGAGUAACCCGUGAGUAACCUGCCCUUGACUUUGGGAUAACUUCAGGAAACUGGGGCUAAUACCGGAUAGGAGCUCCUGCUGCAUGGUGGGGGUUGGAAAGUUUCGGCGGUUGGGGAUGGACUCGCGGCUUAUCAGCUUGUUGGUGGGGUAGUGGCUUACCAAGGCUUUGACGGGUAGCCGGCCUGAGAGGGUGACCGGCCACAUUGGGACUGAGAUACGGCCCAGACUCCUACGGGAGGCAGCAGUGGGGAAUAGUGCACUAGGGGCGGAAGCCUGAUGCAGCAACGCCGCGUGCGGGAUGACGGCCUUCGGGUUGUAAACCGCUGUCGCCUGUGACGAAGCGUGAGUGACGGUAAUGGGUAAAGAAGCACCGGCUAACUACGUG
This 468-nucleotide ribosomal RNA is filed under the name uncultured bacterium. RNAcentral's name for it is "partial 16S ribosomal RNA". It matches the Rfam family "Bacterial small subunit ribosomal RNA", at positions 28 to 507 of the family's 1533-position model. The record is from RNAcentral.